GGAGGGUCCAAGCGUUGUCCGGAUUUAUUGGGGUGUAAAGGGUGUGUAGGCGGGCUUGCAAGUCAGAGGUGAAAGCCUACGGGCUCAACCGUAGAAUUGCCUUUGAUACUGCAGGUCUUGAGUCCCUGGAGAGGUUGCUGGAAUUCGUGGUGUAGCGGUGAAAUGCGUAGAUAUCACGAGGAACACCGGUUACGAAGGUGGGCAACUGGACAGGUACUGACGCUGAGGCACGAAAGCGUGGGGAGCAAACAGGAUUAGAUACCCUGGUAGUCCACGCCGUAAACGAUGAUCACUCGGUGUCGCGGAGUAAUCUGCGGUGCCUAAGCUAACGCAUUAAGUGAUCCACCUGGGGAGUACGAUCGCAAGGUUG
Molecule: ribosomal RNA, 370 nt
Filed under: uncultured organism
Description: partial 16S ribosomal RNA
Rfam family: Bacterial small subunit ribosomal RNA
Source: RNAcentral